GAUGAACGCUGGCGGCGUGCCUAAUACAUGCAAGUCGAGCGAACGGACGAGAAGCUUGCUUCUCUGAUGUUAGCGGCGGACGGGUGAGUAACACGUGGAUAACCUACCUAUAAGACUGGGAUAACUUCGGGAAACCGGAGCUAAUACCGGAUAAUAUUUUGAACCGCAUGGUUCAAAAGUGAAAGACGGUCUUGCUGUCACUUAUAGAUGGAUCCGCGCUGCAUUAGCUAGUUGGUAAGGUAACGGCUUACCAAGGCAACGAUGCAUAGCCGACCUGAGAGGGUGAUCGGCCACACUGGAACUGAGACACGGUCCAGACUCCUACGGGAGGCAGCAGUAGGGAAUCUUCCGCAAUGGGCGAAAGCCUGACGGAGCAACGCCGCGUGAGUGAUGAAGGUCUUCGGAUCGUAAAACUCUGUUAUUAGGGAAGAACAUAUGUGUAAGUAACUGUGCACAUCUUGACGGUACCUAAUCAGAAAGCCACGGCUAACUACGUGCCAGCAGCCGCGGUAAUACGUAGGUGGCAAGCGUUAUCCGGAAUUAUUGGGCGUAAAGCGCGCGUAGGCGGUUUUUUAAGUCUGAUGUGAAAGCCCACGGCUCAACCGUGGAGGGUCAUUGGAAACUGGAAAACUUGAGUGCAGAAGAGGAAAGUGGAAUUCCAUGUGUAGCGGUGAAAUGCGCAGAGAUAUGGAGGAACACCAGUGGCGAAGGCGACUUUCUGGUCUGUAACUGACGCUGAUGUGCGAAAGCGUGGGGAUCAAACAGGAUUAGAUACCCUGGUAGUCCACGCCGUAAACGAUGAGUGCUAAGUGUUAGGGGGUUUCCGCCCCUUAGUGCUGCAGCUAACGCAUUAAGCACUCCGCCUGGGGAGUACGACCGCAAGGUUGAAACUCAAAGGAAUUGACGGGGACCCGCACAAGCGGUGGAGCAUGUGGUUUAAUUCGAAGCAACGCGAAGAACCUUACCAAAUCUUGACAUCCUUUGACAACUCUAGAGAUAGAGCCUUCCCCUUCGGGGGACAAAGUGACAGGUGGUGCAUGGUUGUCGUCAGCUCGUGUCGUGAGAUGUUGGGUUAAGUCCCGCAACGAGCGCAACCCUUAAGCUUAGUUGCCAUCAUUAAGUUGGGCACUCUAAGUUGACUGCCGGUGACAAACCGGAGGAAGGUGGGGAUGACGUCAAAUCAUCAUGCCCCUUAUGAUUUGGGCUACACACGUGCUACAAUGGACAAUACAAAGGGCAGCGAAACCGCGAGGUCAAGCAAAUCCCAUAAAGUUGUUCUCAGUUCGGAUUGUAGUCUGCAACUCGACUACAUGAAGCUGGAAUCGCUAGUAAUCGUAGAUCAGCAUGCUACGGUGAAUACGUUCCAGGGUCU
RNAcentral lists this ribosomal RNA (1372 nucleotides) under uncultured bacterium. RNAcentral's name for it is "bacterial SSU rRNA". It matches the Rfam family "Bacterial small subunit ribosomal RNA", at positions 28 to 1381 of the family's 1533-position model. The record is from RNAcentral.